CAACGCUGGCGGCGUGCCUAACACAUGCAAGUCGAACGGAAUGAGGGGCUUGCUCCUCAUUUAGUGGCGCACGGGUGAGUAACGCGUAGAUAAUCUGCCUGAUGAUCUGGGAUAACAUUUCGAAAGAGGUGCUAAUACCGGAUAAGCCCACGACGGCUUCGGUCGAUGCGGGAAAAGGGGGGGACCUUCGGGCCUUCUGUCAUCAGAUGAGUCUGCGUACCAUUAGCUAGUUGGUAGGGUAAUGGCCUACCAAGGCUACGAUGGUUAGCUGGUCUGAGAGGAUGGUCAGCCACACUGGAACUGAGACCCGGUCCAGACUCCUACGGGAGGCAGCAGUGGGGAAUUUUGCGCAAUGGGGGAAACCCUGACGCAGCAACGCCGCGUGAGUGAUGAAGGCUUUCGGGUCGUAAAGCUCUGUCAGUGGGGAAGAAAUGGGGCUGGCUAAUAUCCAGUCUUCUUGACGGUACCCACAAAGGAAGCACCGGCUAACUCCGUGCCAGCAGCCGCGGUAAUACGGAGGGUGCAAGCGUUGUUCGGAUUUAUUGGGCGUAAAGCGCGUGUAGGCGGUUUCUUAAGUCUGAUGUGAAAGCCCUGGGCUCAACCCAGGAAGUGCAUUGGAUACUGGGAGACUUGAAUACGGGAGAGGGUAGUGGAAUUCCUAGUGUAGGAGUGAAAUCCGUAGAUAUUAGGAGGAACACCGGUGGCGAAGGCGGCUACCUGGACCGAUAUUGACGCUGAGACGCGAAAGCGUGGGGAGCAAACAGGAUUAGAUACCCUGGUAGUCCACGCCGUCAAAGUUUCAAAAU
Molecule: ribosomal RNA, 806 nt
Filed under: uncultured Geobacter sp.
Lineage: Bacteria; Pseudomonadati; Thermodesulfobacteriota; Desulfuromonadia; Geobacterales; Geobacteraceae
Description: bacterial SSU rRNA
Rfam family: Bacterial small subunit ribosomal RNA
Source: RNAcentral